CAUACUACUAGCGACAUCUUCAUACGAAAUUGAGUAUCAAAAUUGUGUUUAAAACUUUAAGAUUAUCUGUCAUUUUUGUGAAAAAAAAUUGUGCAGUUAUUAGUUUUUGUCUUGCGGUCAAGAUAAACUUCAUCAUUGAACUGUAUGCAUUCAUUUCCGUUGUUCAUCUAGCUCAUCGCCACCGCUGGAAAAGAAAACAACAACCAAACCAAAGAGUCCCCGCUUUUCCGAGAAGCAUCACGACAUGGUGUUUUCCAAUUUAAUUGGAUUUUGUUAUUGCGCUAUUCAUGCAAAUAUAAAUAUUGGAAAUAAACACCACUUGCUGGGUGAUGGUGUGGUCCAGUAUGAUAAGCUUUAAGGAUAGAUUUAUUCUUGGACUAGGAGAUUGUGAUUGGUGGUGGUGUUGCGGUGGCCGAUAGAAAUUUCUUUUUGGAGGUUACCAUCGAACUAAUACCGUCUCCUCAGUCGGUGGAAAAGCAACGAAACAAAAAAGAAACCAAAGUGAAAUAAGCAAUUAUUAUGUAUCUUUUGGGCCAAAGAAAAAUUUUAAAUUGAAAACA
Episyrphus balteatus (marmalade hoverfly) is the source of this 560-nucleotide long non-coding RNA. RefSeq lists it as uncharacterized. The transcript is spliced from 2 exons. The record is from RefSeq and is a predicted model, not a curated record. Lineage: Eukaryota; Metazoa; Arthropoda; Insecta; Diptera; Syrphidae.